This 325-nucleotide unclassified non-coding RNA is filed under the name uncultured fungus. Its description in RNAcentral is "partial contains 5.8S ribosomal RNA and internal transcribed spacer 2". The stretch from base 1 to 133 matches the Rfam family "5.8S ribosomal RNA", at positions 22 to 154 of the family's 154-position model. The record is from RNAcentral. Lineage: Eukaryota; Fungi.
UGGUUCUGGCAUCGAUGAAGAACGCAGCGAAAUGCGAUAAGUAGUGUGAAUUGCAGACUUUAGUGAAUCAUCGAAUCUUUGAACGCACAUUGCGCCCCUUGGUAUUCCAUUGGGCAUGCCUGUUCGAGCGUCAUUUACCCCCUCAAGCUCCGCUUGGUGUUGGGCGUCUGUUCGCGCUCCCGGCGUGGACUCGCCCUAAAUCUAUUGGCGGCGGCUCUGUCGGCCUUCCGCGCAGCACUUUGCGCGCCCGGAGGCUUUCGGCGGGCCCGCGUCCAUGCAGGAAACCCCAUCGUUUGACCUCGAAUCAGGUAGGGAUACCCGCUGA